Molecule: long non-coding RNA, 2720 nt
Filed under: Trifolium pratense (red clover)
Lineage: Eukaryota; Viridiplantae; Streptophyta; Magnoliopsida; Fabales; Fabaceae
Description: long non-coding RNA (TPRA_LNC000749)
Source: RNAcentral
UUUGAAAAGAUUUUAACCAAAUUUAAUAUCCAAAUCAUAUAUUAACUCCUUCAUUCAAAUAUAUGUAGUAUUACAAAAUUGCAUAACAGAGUACCUCCUUUCUAUGGGUACUAAAAAGUAACAACAUGAACUAUUACUAUAAAACACAUAAAGUCAUGGUUACUUCUCCCAUGACUACUUAUAUACAAAUUAAGACAAUAUCUCAAAACCAAUACAACUAAAAUUGGACACUUUUGGUGUAAAUUGUAAAUUUCUUUUCAUUGCCCCCACUAUCUUGGUUGCAUAAUCAUAUGAAGAACCACCUAUAACAUGCCUUUUGCUACUUUUCAAUGUUCUUGAUCAAUUCCAACAUUUCUUUGAUCGUAAUCCCUUUUGAUCGUAUUGCUCCAAUGCAGAACCUGCUACACCAAAUUAAUCAAAUAGUUGAACAAAAAUUGAACUAGAAUCUCACUAGUUAUGCUAACAACAGACCCUAUAUACACUAGAAUGCAUAUUGCCAUUACAAAAUUAGAGUAUCACUAUCCUCUAUAAUGUAAAUGUACCAAAUUACAUCUAGCCAUUUCAUUGAAAAUUCAAUUUCAUAUCUGAACUAUCUCUUAGGAAUAUGAGAAUAAGUGAUGGUUCCUUUUACAAACUCGUUUGCUUCUUUAUUUCUCACAACUUAACAAGAUAUCCAAUACACUUCAGAAGUUUUGUCUCAGUAUAAAUAACCAUGCAGCUCAACAACAAGACUACAACAACUCUUAAAUAUAAACAACAAUACCUGGACUUCCUCUAGAUGGUAGAGGGCUGUAAAACCAAACACAGUGGUGUCUACAUAGUUAAUUGAAUAAUUAAAUUAAAUAAAAGAAGAGCUAAAAUCAAACAAUUAGAUAGGCUUACAUAAUUUAAGGUCAGAUACACAGGUUAGAAAUAACUUAAAAAGUGUAGACAAUAUGAAAUUAGUAGUAGAAAAUUGAAUUGCAAAUAACUCACAAUCAGACAAGUUAAGUUUCUAGUCAAAAUCACUUUGUGUUAAGAGUAAAUUGCUUCCUGCACCACAAUUUUCAAUUGCUUAGUAAGAUCGAAUUUGUCUGCAUAUUCUAAGAAAAUGAAUUUAAAUAUAAGCACAUAAUUAUAAUUAUUUGCCACUUAAACAUGUGUACCUUUACCUACUUGGAGUUGAGAAUUAAUGAAUGUUAACUUGAUUUUGGCAACUAUGCCCCUUUCUUGCUAAAAGUAAAUGCCAAGUUCUCUAAUGUUCACCUACACCAAAGUAGUUUGUUUUAAGGCAUGUUUCAGUUAAUUCCUUCUUCUCACUUAGUUGUACUGCAUUAUUCAUCUACACCAAAUGUUAAGAUUUCAUACAAUUGAUUAUCAAUUUCAAUUUCACAUUCAAUAUCAAUUUCAAUAACAAGGAAAGGGGCAUAACAAGUAAUUUGGCAUUUCAAUAUCAAUUUCACAUUCAAUAUUAUCCUCAUUAUUGUGAAGAAUGCAACCACUACCUAUAUUGUACAUAUCAAAAACUUCACCUCUCAGUUCCAUUUAUGAAAAUAAGUCCCCCCCAUCAUUGGUUUAUAUUUCUUAGUGCAUUACCAACAUCAUUGCAUCAUCAUUUUUCAUGAGGUUUUAGUCAAGAUGAAUUGGUUCAUUCAUACUCCAAGCAUGAGUUUUCACUCAACGUGAAUUGUUUAUCUCAUUCAUAAAACCAUUAUCCUCUACAUACUAAGUAUUAACUAGUAAUUAGUAUCUACUAUUUAGUAAUCACUAUAUUUCACAAAAACCAGCAAACCCAAAAUCAAAAUCAAGAAAGUAUAAACAAUUAUCAAAAACCUAUACACACCAAAAACCAACAAAGUGCCAUUCAAAUAUGACCAAAUCUUGUUAGGCAUGAAAUUGAACAGAAUAUGAAAAACAUGCAAAUAAUAAUCAGAAAAAUUAACAUCAAACUUCUAACUGAGCCAAGAACAGAGAAAUUUAAUUUGGGAUGAAAGAGAAUGUCAGGGUUUUGGCAAAAUUUAGGGAAACCCCAAUCUAAGUUGAAGUUGAUAAAGAGACUCACGAUAUAACAAGUUGAUGUUGUUCAACACUGUGCAAAAUACCUGCAUAAUAGUGAGUUAAGACAUUACAGUGCUUCCUCCUGCAUAAUAGCGGGAUGUUCAACCACAAUCUCAUAACUAAACAUCACAAAAAAUUCAUCCACAGCAACAAUAACAAACAAACCCAGAAAAAAAAACAAAGAAAAUAAGAAUAAACAAACCCAAACUCCUUCGACAAAUCCAUAUCUGCAUUCUACUAAUUCCUUCUCAGUGUUCAAGCUUAAGCUAAAGCAUACCGAUCAAAACCCUUAUCGUAGCCACCAACUCCGCUAGCUAAUCUCUGAAACUAUGACGCCACUGAGAUAGGGUAUCCAAAUUGAAGCCAUUAAUUUUGGUCAAAUAAAAAAUACGAGAAAUACGAUAAAGAGGAAUGUAUCAGAAACCCUAUAAAUAUAGGGAUUGAAUGGUGUGAGAGAAUAGAUUGGAAACCCUAAAAAUCUAGGGAUUGAGCGGUGAGAGAGAAUUUAUAAAGCUACAGAUUGGGGAGGAUUUAGGUGGAUUUUCGAUUGUGUGGUAUUUGAAGAGAUAUCUUUUCUGAAACUUGGAGACGGAGGAGAAGGAAGCCACACGGUGGGGUUUAACUCUCAAACUUGUUUGUGUAUGGAUGGGAUGAGAUUAGUCUUUUUUACGGGAAAAAAAAAU